Molecule: ribosomal RNA, 871 nt
Filed under: uncultured Flavobacteriia bacterium
Lineage: Bacteria; Pseudomonadati; Bacteroidota; Flavobacteriia
Description: bacterial SSU rRNA
Rfam family: Bacterial small subunit ribosomal RNA
Source: RNAcentral
UUCGCCCUUAGAGUUUGAUCCUGGCUCAGGAUGAACGCUAGCGGCAGGCCUAAUACAUGCAAGUCGAACGGUAACAUUGGUGCUUGCACCAGAUGACGAGUGGCGCACGGGUGCGUAACGCGUAUGCAAUCUACCUUUUACUAGAGUAUAGCCCAGAGAAAUUUGGAUUAAUCCUCUAUAAUAUCUUUUAAUUUCAUGAUUUUAAGAUUAAAGUUUUAACGGUAAAAGAUGAGCAUGCGUCCUAUUAGUUUGUAGGUGAGGUAACGGCUCACCUAGACUACGAUAGGUAGGGGCCCUGAGAGGGGGAUCCCCCACACUGGUACUGAGACACGGACCAGACUCCUACGGGAGGCAGCAGUAAGGAAUAUUGGACAAUGGACGAAAGUCUGAUCCAGCCAUGCCGCGUGCAGGAUGAAAGCCCUACGGGUUGUAAACUGCUUUUAUACAGGAAGAAACACUCCGACGUGUCGGAGCUUGACGGUACUGUAAGAAUAAGGAUCGGCUAACUCCGUGCCAGCAGCCGCGGUAAUACGGAGGAUCCAAGCGUUAUCCGGAAUCAUUGGGUUUAAAGGGUCCGCAGGCUGUUUUUUAAGUCAGAGGUGAAAUCCUACAGCUCAACUGUAGAACUGCCUUUGAUACUGAAAAACUUGAGUUAUUGUGAAGUGGUUAGAAUGUGUGGUGUAGCGGUGAAAUGCAUAGAUAUCACACAGAAUACCGAUUGCGAAGGCAGAUCACUAACAAUAUACUGACGCUCAUGGACGAAAGCGUGGGGAGCGAACAGGAUUAGAUACCCUGGUAGUCCACGCCGUAAACGAUGGAUACUAGCUGUUCGUCUAACAUUGGUUAGAUGAGUGGCUAAGCGAAAGUGAUA